RNAcentral lists this transfer RNA (74 nucleotides) under compost metagenome. RNAcentral describes it as "tRNA-Met". It matches the Rfam family "tRNA". From Rfam's summary of the family: Transfer RNA (tRNA) molecules are approximately 80 nucleotides in length. Their secondary structure includes four short double-helical elements and three loops (D, anti-codon, and T loops). Further hydrogen bonds mediate the characteristic L-shaped molecular structure. tRNAs have two regions of fundamental functional importance: the anti-codon, which is responsible for specific mRNA codon recognition, and the 3' end, to which the tRNAs corresponding amino acid is attached (by aminoacyl-tRNA synthetases). tRNAs cope with the degeneracy of the genetic code in two manners: having more than one tRNA (with a specific anti-codon) for a particular amino acid; and 'wobble' base-pairing, i.e. permitting non-standard base-pairing at the 3rd anti-codon position. The record is from RNAcentral.
GGAGGUGUAGCUCAACGGUCAGAGCAGGGGACUCAUAAUCCCUUGGUUCAGGGUUCGAAUCCCUGCGCCUCCAC